AAGGUGGGUCGGACGACCGCGCCGAAAGGCGAGGAAAGUCCAGGCUCCGUAGAGCAGGACGCUGGAGGCAACUCCAGAUAGCGUAAGCUAUGGAAAGUGCCGCAGAAAACAUACCGCCCACCGCUCCCUUUAAGGGAGCAGAGGCAAGGGUGAAAAGGUGGGGUAAGAGCCCACCGGCGGAAGGGUGACCUUCCGGCCAGGCAAACCCCGUCCGGAGCAAGACCAAAUAGGAGGAGAGGGAAGCUGCUCGCUGACUCCUCGGGUAGGUCGCAAAGAUAAAUGGUCGUCGCCAGCCGUAAGGCUGGAACAGAACCUGGCUUAUAGACCCACCUUCCCG
This 337-nucleotide RNase P RNA is filed under the name bacterium. Its description in RNAcentral is "RNase P RNA component class A". It matches the Rfam family "Bacterial RNase P class A". Rfam says of the family: Ribonuclease P (RNase P) is a ubiquitous endoribonuclease, found in archaea, bacteria and eukarya as well as chloroplasts and mitochondria. Its best characterised activity is the generation of mature 5'-ends of tRNAs by cleaving the 5'-leader elements of precursor-tRNAs. The record is from RNAcentral.